AGAUUGAACGCUGGCGGCAUGCCUUACACAUGCAAGUCGAACGGUAGAGUAGCAAUACUUGAGAGUGGCGAACGGGUGAGUAAUAUAUCGGAACGUGCCCAGUCGUGGGGGGAUAACGUAGAGAAAUUUACGCUAAUACCGCAUACGAUCUAAGGAUGAAAGCGGGGGACCGUAAGGCCUCGCGCGAUUGGAGCGGCUGAUAUCAGAUUAGGUUGUUGGUGAGGUAAAAGCUCACCAAGCCGACGAUCUGUAGCUGGUUUGAGAGAACGACCAGCCACACUGGGACUGAGACACGGCCCAGACUCCUACGGGAGGCAGCAGUGGGAAUUUGGACAAUGGGACGAAAGCCUGAUCCAGCAAUGACCGCGUGCAGGAAGAAGGGCCUUACGGGUUGUAAACGUUGACGUUUUGUAACGGAACGAAACGGUACUGGACUUUAAGUACGUAGU
This 449-nucleotide ribosomal RNA is filed under the name uncultured soil bacterium. Its description in RNAcentral is "bacterial SSU rRNA". It matches the Rfam family "Bacterial small subunit ribosomal RNA", at positions 26 to 487 of the family's 1533-position model. The record is from RNAcentral.